Molecule: ribosomal RNA, 467 nt
Filed under: uncultured bacterium
Lineage: Bacteria
Description: partial 16S ribosomal RNA
Rfam family: Bacterial small subunit ribosomal RNA
Source: RNAcentral
ACGAACGCUGGCGGCGUGCUUAACACAUGCAAGUCGAACGGAAAGGCCCUGCUUUUGUGGGGUGCUCGAGUGGCGAACGGGUGAGUAACACGUGAGUAACCUGCCCUUGACUUUGGGAUAACUUCAGGAAACUGGGGCUAAUACCGGAUUGGAGCUCCUGCUGCAUGGUGGGGGUUGGAAAGUUUCGGCGGUUGGGGAUGGACUCGCGGCUUAUCAGCUUGUUGGUGGGGUAGUGGCUUACCAAGGCUUUGACGGGUAGCCGGCCUGAGAGGGUGACCGGCCACAUUGGGACUGAGAUACGGCCCAGACUCCUACGGGAGGCAGCAGUGGGGAAUAUUGCACAAUGGGCGGAAGCCUGAUGCAGCAACGCCGCGUGCGGGAUGACGGCCUUCGGGUUGUAAACCGCUUUCGCCUGUGACGAAGCGUGAGUGACGGUAAUGGGUAAAGAAGCACCGGCUAACUACGUG